This 497-nucleotide ribosomal RNA is filed under the name uncultured bacterium. Its description in RNAcentral is "partial 16S ribosomal RNA". It matches the Rfam family "Bacterial small subunit ribosomal RNA", at positions 28 to 507 of the family's 1533-position model. The record is from RNAcentral.
GAUGAACGCUGGCGGCGUGCCUAAUACAUGCAAGUCGAGCGAACGGACGAGAAGCUUGCUUCUCUGAUGUUAGCGGCGGACGGGUGAGUAACACGUGGAUAACCUACCUAUAAGACUGGGAUAACUUCGGGAAACCGUAGCUAAUACCGGAUAAUAUUUUGAACCGCAUGGUUCAAAAGUGAAAGACGGUCUUGCUGUCACUUAUAGAUGGAUCCGCGCUGCAUUAGCUAGUUGGUAAGGUAACGGCUUACCAGGGCAACGAUGCAUAGCCGACCUGAGAGGGUGAUCGGCCACACUGGAACUGAGACACGGUCCAGACUCCUACGGGAGGCAGCAGUAGGGAAUCUUCCGCAAUGGGCGAAAGCCUGGCGGAGCAACGCCGCGUGAGUGAUGAAGGUCUUCGGAUCGUAAAACUCUGUUAUUAGGGAAGAACAUAUGUGUAAGUAACUGUGCACAUCUUGACGGUACCUAAUCAGAAAGCCACGGCUAACUACGUG